This 63-nucleotide transfer RNA is filed under the name Ostrea denselamellosa. RNAcentral describes it as "tRNA-Trp". Lineage: Eukaryota; Metazoa; Mollusca; Bivalvia; Ostreida; Ostreidae. The record is from RNAcentral.
CGGGUCAUAAGUUAAGUUAAACUGUCAGUCUUCAAAACUGAAAAUACCACGAUGUUGACCUGA